CCUACGGGAGGCAGCAGUAGGGAAUCUUCCACAAUGGGCGAAAGCCUGAUGGAGCAACGCCGCGUGGGUGAAGAAGGUCUUCGGAUCGUAAAACCCUGUUGUUAGAGAAGCAAGUGCGUGAGAGUAACUGUUCACGUUUCGACGGUAUCUAACCAGAAAGCCACGGCUAACUACGUGCCAGCAGCCGCGGUAAUACGUAGGUGGCAAGCGUUAUCCGGAUUUAUUGGGCGUAAAGGGAACGCGGGCGGUCUUUUAAGUCUGAUGUGAAAGCCUUCGGCUUAACCGGGGUAGUGCAUUGGAAACUGGGAGACGUGAGUGCAGAAGAGGAGAGUGGAACUCCAUGUGUAGCGGUGAAAUGCGUAGAUAUAUGGAAGAACACCAGUGGCGAAAGCGGCUCUCUGGUCUGUAACUGACGCUGAGGUUCGAAAGCGUGGGUAGCAAACAGGAUUAGAUACCCGUGUAGUC
RNAcentral lists this ribosomal RNA (465 nucleotides) under uncultured bacterium. RNAcentral describes it as "partial 16S ribosomal RNA". It matches the Rfam family "Bacterial small subunit ribosomal RNA", at positions 338 to 795 of the family's 1533-position model. The record is from RNAcentral.